Xiphias gladius (swordfish) is the source of this 573-nucleotide long non-coding RNA. RefSeq lists it as uncharacterized. The record is from RefSeq and is a predicted model, not a curated record. Lineage: Eukaryota; Metazoa; Chordata; Actinopteri; Istiophoriformes; Xiphiidae. The transcript is spliced from 4 exons.
CUCCUUUUCCUGUUAGCCAUGUUCCUGGAUUCCUGUCUGCCAUCUUGUUCACCCGACUGACUCUCCCACUCUAUUGAACUAUGUGGAAAAGUCAUCAUUUUCUACAUCAUCUCCUAGACAAUCUUCUAAAACUUCUACAACAUUCCCCACUUCCUCAAGACAGUCCUUCAUAACUGGCGUUCCCUAACAUGACACACUGCGGGCUGAGAGAUUGUGGUGUCUGGAUUUGAUUUAAUCUCACAACUCUUUCCACGCUAGUGAAUGCAGAGGGAGCCAACAAAGGAGAUGGACACAUUAAAUCAACUGGCGUUAAGAGUGGAGCUGCUUGUGGAUAAAUCUCUAUUACCAAGCACUCAGAUGAUUAUCUUCAAAGAGAACCAGAGAAUGCUAGGAAGAAAGACGAGCAUAAAACUAACUGGAAACAGUCAGCGAGGGAUGCAUCUUCAAGAGCUGCGCAGAGUCUGGCCUCAAAGAAAUUAAUCAGUGGGAGCCAAUUAUAAUAAACAAGCGUGAUUAUGUAAACAGGACAUGAGUGAUUAUCUUGUUUCCACCAGAUAUUACUGAUGAGAAAGA